Molecule: long non-coding RNA, 1023 nt
Organism: Vigna angularis (adzuki bean)
Lineage: Eukaryota; Viridiplantae; Streptophyta; Magnoliopsida; Fabales; Fabaceae
Exons: 4
Source: RefSeq, a predicted model, not a curated record
UUGUAUAGCUAACACGAAAGAGAGAGAGAAGCAAAUGGAGAAGGUUAUAGAAGAACAACACAAGAAAAGGAAUAAGAGAGUUUUAGGGUUUUAUCGAUUAACUCAAAAAAUGGAGAAGAGAAGGGAAAAUCAGGGGAAAUGAAUAUGGCCGUUCGUGAUUCUCAUCAGCGGAAGAGGUAUAAAAACUAUAAGGUUUGGGUUAGGAAAGAUUGAUGUUUUGGGGCUCCGAACUCCAUUUUUGUUCUUGGAAUGGAUAGGACUGAAUGCUAUGCUAGUAUUCAUGAUGGCAACUGAGGGCCUCUUUGCAGAUUUUGUAAAUUGAUGGUAUUAUGAAGAUCCACGUAACUCCCUAGUCAUCUAUGCUAUGUUGAAAAUUACUACAAUUUGCAGGUGUGGAGUGCGUUGAAGCCAAACACUGAUGACUCAAAAAACCCAAUACAUGAGAUGGAUUUAUUAUCUAGUCAAAAAAAUGAUGUUAAUUGUGCAUGUACUGGUUGCUCUGUGGCUUCAAAAAUUUAACAUCUGACCCUUGGAAAGAAGAAAAUACACUGAAGUUUCAAAAUUUCUGCAUUCAAUAGCCAUAUUCCUUACUUGAGUUACAACGCCCUGUUGAGAAGAUUAUAGAUCAAUCCGCCGAUUCUUAUUCUCCCACCCACUCACAAGUAAGUUUCUUCAUUCUAAAUUUUAGUUUAACUUUUAUACUUUGUCACUGUAAAUCCAUUGGUUAUCUUAACAAAUAUAUUUUUUGUUUGUCUGUCGCUUGCUUUCUAGUAUUGCAAGAUUGUAUGAGUAUAAUUAUCAUUAUUUAUUUUAUUAAUUUUUGUUUUAUUAUUUCAACAAGAUGGUGAUUCAAAUGAACUCGAGUCUUUUUUAAGUACAAGACAAUCAUAUAGUGGAAGUAAAAUUUAGGGAGUUUAUGAUAUUCUUUUUAGGAUAAAACUAUAUUUAGUUUAUUAUGAAUUUUGAGUACUUAUUGAUUAAGUUGUAAAGAUGAUUUUAUUUUAAAUUGAUUUUAUGUUACUA